RNAcentral lists this ribosomal RNA (253 nucleotides) under uncultured bacterium. RNAcentral's name for it is "partial 16S ribosomal RNA". It matches the Rfam family "Bacterial small subunit ribosomal RNA", at positions 524 to 776 of the family's 1533-position model. The record is from RNAcentral.
UACGUAGGGUGCGAGCGUUAAUCGGAAUUACUGGGCGUAAAGCGUGCGCAGGCGGUUUUGUAAGCCAGAUGUGAAAUCCCCGGGCUCAACCUGGGAAUGGCAUUUGGGACUGCAAGGCUGGAGUACGGCAGAGGAGACUGGAAUUCCUGGUGUAGCAGUGAAAUGCGUAGAUAUCAGGAGGAAUACCGAUGGCGAAGGCAGGUCUCUGGGCUGAUACUGACGCUCAUGCACGAAAGCUAGGGGAGCGAACGGG